RNAcentral lists this ribosomal RNA (253 nucleotides) under uncultured bacterium. Its description in RNAcentral is "partial 16S ribosomal RNA". It matches the Rfam family "Bacterial small subunit ribosomal RNA", at positions 524 to 776 of the family's 1533-position model. The record is from RNAcentral.
UACGUAGGGUGCAAGCGUUGUCCGGAAUUAUUGGGCGUAAAGAGCGUGUAGGCGGUCCGGUCAGUCGGUUGUGAAAGUCAAGGGCUCAACCCUUGAAUGCCGGCCGAUACUGCCGGGCUAGAGUCCGGAAGAGGCGAGUGGAACUCCUGGUGUAGCGGUGGAAUGCGCAGAUAUCAGGAAGAACACCAACGGCGAAGGCAGCUCGCUGGGACGGAACUGACGCUGAGGCGCGAAAGCGUGGGGAGCGAACAGG